RNAcentral lists this long non-coding RNA (10319 nucleotides) under Malus domestica (apple). Its description in RNAcentral is "long non-coding RNA (MDOM_LNC001224)". The record is from RNAcentral. Lineage: Eukaryota; Viridiplantae; Streptophyta; Magnoliopsida; Rosales; Rosaceae.
ACAAAGUGUUAUACCACAUGUCAUUAUAUAAAGAGAAAUUUUUUAUAUUUUAAGUCUGUCUCCACUUAUAUAAUAUGUGUUGUACCAUCCGAAUUCCGGAUCAGUAAAAGAUCUCUCCAAAAAUACAUAUGCAUGUUUUAUUCAAAAGGUUAGGAAUGAUGCGUCAUCAUCCCUAACGCACUUUAUUAUAAGUAGUAUCAUCCAUUGAGGCAGAGAAGUUAAUUAGAUGCUGUCCUUAAUGGAUGCACUAUAGCCGUUGACAAUGUCAUACUGCCUGCCCCAGAGCAUAAUUCCUCCGUACUUGGGCGAUUUCUUAAUCGUUGGAAGAACUUGUGACUUGAGAGCGUCAGCAGGAAUAAAUCCGCCGCCCGGAGCGGCCUCAGGAGCUGCCGGUAUACCCAAGAACACCUGGGUGGCCGGAACCGAGGCCCAUUGGUUCCAACUGCUCAAAAGAGCGUCGGCAUUACCGUCUGCAUACUGGCAUGGGGGGUUGUUGUAGAACUGAACCCAAACGUAGUCAAAUAAACCGGUUUGGAUAGCGCCGUCUAGGUGAGCAUCCGGGAUCGGACAUUGUGGAGCUGCGGCUAAAUAGACCGUUUUUGCCUGUCCGUUGUGUCCGUUGAGUGACCUGGCGAGCUCAUCAUAGAACUGCGCACCACCCGCCUCAAUGUCGAAAUCAACGCCGUCCAAAACCGCGUCCCCAAGCGGGCGCGAAGCGGACUGACCACCUAAGAAGUUGUUCCAGAUGUAAUCAGCAACUUGCCUUGCAUCAUCAGCUGAAGUGAGAGAGUAACUUCCGGCGGCCCCUCCAAUCGAGAGGAGGACUUUUAUGUUUUUUGAUUGGCAGGUUCUGAUGUCGGCACUCAGCCCCGUGCAAGUACCACUAGAGGGGUCGCAGUGGCCGGCGAGGUUUAGGACAGGGGUUUGGUUGUUUCCGAAAGUAGUGAGGAAAGCUAUGUUAACAAACUGGUAGUUGCCUGAGUUGCAAGCAUCUGCUAGGGUUCCUUCAUUGCCGUUUUGGCCCCAAUACGUCGCGAUUCCGGCGGCUUGGGAGGACUUGCAUGAAGAAAUGAGGAUCAAGAGGGACAGCGUUAGGGCUAGGGUUUGUGUUUUGGAUGCCAUUUUUGUAUGUUUUUUUGGGUUGUUGUUCAAAGUGCUUGGGAGUGGACUUGUACUUAUAGGUGCAGGGGACUUAUCCGUUAAGGUUUAGGGGAAGAAAAGUAUGACAGACGUGUUCUGCGGGUUAGAAAUGGGUGCCAGUCUUCAGCUUGGAACCUCGUCAAUCAAGUUAGCUAGGGCCUGUUUAGUCCAAGAAGUUUCACAUAAAACGCCGAUUAAGUUAGGUCGGGUUGGAAAUGCUUUCUUCAAAAACUACUUACACACGUAAGCGCUUCUUAUAUUUUUCAUAAGAAUGCAAGUGCUUUUGAAAAAAAACACUUGAGCUGUUUCGUGUGUUUUUUUCAGAAAAUACUUUAAAUGUUUUUUCAAACUAAAAAUCCAUUAAAGCUCCUUUACUUGUUUAAGGGCACUUCCAAAAUCAUAUUUAAAGAAAAAUUACUUCUAGAGAGAAUUAUAACAUGCUAAUUGAGAGAUCCCGAAACUAGAAACUAGAUAGUUAUAAUGAAGCGUGACCUUAACUGCUUAAUUAAGUGAAAAAAGCCAUCAAAUUUGACAAAAAGUCUGAUGAAAGGUCAUAGCUGUAUCAUCUGUAGAUGAGAUAAUCAUGAAACAAUGUGGGGAAUCAACACAUCCUUAUCAUCGUCAAAAAAAAAAAUUCACUGUGCUGGAAGCACGUUCAAUUGAACGUUUUGGAAGUUUGUGGAUAGAAACCAAAUGGAAUAUGCUUGUAACCAAAAUUGCUGGCUGCUAUAUACAUCUUGGAUUUUAGCUGAGGUGGCCAUUGGCCAAGGACUUUGGUCUAAUCACGAUGCUUUAAUUUCGCAAUCCAAAAAAAAAAUUCAGAUAAAAUUUAGAACACGUUUUGGGAGUGCUUUCAAAUUACUGAAAGCGAUUUUAGAAAGAAAAAAAAUGUUUAUAUAACUAAUCUUUAAUAAAAAUGCAAGUUAAUCCUCCAAAAGUACUGAAACUAGUGCUUCUUUGAUAAAACACUUCAAGUGCUUUUGGAGCUCAAAAAUAUUAUCUCAAGUGGUUUCAGUCAUUUAAAAACACUUUCUAAACGAGUUAAUGACUCGUGUAUGGGGCAACAUUUAGCAAGUAACGGCUCUCAUGAAUUGGAUUGUGGUGAUGUGAAAAUGGGUUUGGGUAAGUUUAGUUUAGACCAGUCAGCAGUGUUUAAAAUAUCCACGACAUUAUCGAUAUUUUCGUUGAAAUAUCCUUAAAAUUAAGGGUCCAUAAGCAAAAGAAGGAUGAAAUGCAAACUUCACCCUAUAUCGGCAAGAUACAAGAAAACAAUGAAUAUAGACAAUAUGUAACAACUCGUCCCAAGAUUUACUGUAUAUAAAUGGUAUUUUUGUAUUUUCAUCAAGUUUGGGAAUUUAUCUUCCUUUUAAAAUUUGUUUUUGGUCUUAAAUGGUGAUCCAAGGGGACCCACUCCCCUGAUUUUGUCCCCGAGCCCUCUUCUCUCUUUCUUCCUCUCCUCUUCCCUUUCCCCUUUCCCGUAUACUUCUAUUCCUCUCUUCUCUAUGAUCACACUCACACCCAGCUGCACUCCCUGCUCGAGGAAGACGCAAUCACCAUCUAAACCACGUCCCUUUCCUCUUCCUCUUGCCUCUGUGCAACUCGGCGAAACCAAGAAAAUAACCUCCGGCAAGUCCGACGGCUUUCGAAGCCAUUUCCUGCCAAACCACGGCGCGUUGGCCGGCGUGCAAGGUAUCAAUCUCUUCGUCCCGUCAAGUACUAUAACUUUUCUUUUUGUUUCACUCAAUUUAAUUGAGUAUUGAAGAAGUUAUACUCAUUUGAAUCUUACCCAGUUUCCGGCGACCUCCGAGGCUUUCGAGGAAAUUUCAGGCCAAACCAUGGCGAGUCAGACGUGAGGUAUCAUUCUCUUCGUCUCUUCCAGGACUACAACUUUCGUUUUUGUCUCGCUUGAUUUCGUUGAGUAGUGACAAAGUUAUGGCUGUUUAAAGUGGGGUGGUUUUCCGGCCGAAUUUCCGGCCUUCUUCUUCCUUGGCAACAGGCCACCCGGCCUUUCCCUCUCCCUCGGACCUUAGGCCCGUGUUGUCUUAAGCCCAAAACCCUAGCCUUUAGUUUUAAGUUUUAUUAUUUGGUUUUAAAACCCUAAAAAGGGCCUUGGGCCGGUGGUUUUUAAAAAGGGCUUAAAGCCCUGUUUUUCUUUAUUUAUUUUUAUUAAGGCCUUAAGGCCUUGUGAUUUUGUGCCCGUGGGUGUGUGUGUUAGGUGUGUAUGUGUUUAUGCAUGCACAUGCAUGCCGUGUGUGUGUGUGUAUUUGUAGUAUGUGUGUGUUUGGGCUAAAGCCCAAACCCCAAUUCUCACCCUAAAACCAUUUUAACCCAAAAUCCUAGGUUCCUAAAAUCCUUUAAAACCCUAAACCCAUCCAAUCCCAAAUCCCCUAUUUUAUUUAAACCUAAACCCUAAUCCGGAUUUCAAGCCUAAAACCCAUUUGACCGUUGACCCCCGGUCAACGUUGAUUUUAGGGUUGACUUUUCGGGUUUUCGUCCGGGACCCUUCUUAGGGUAAUUCGACGUUCUAAAUCCGUUUCCAAUGUCCAUUUUCCCAAAUUCAAUUGUUAUUAUAUAGUUUUAUUUAUUGGACUCUUUAUGUGCUUAGGGGCAAUUAUUGUGACGUUUCCAUCUUCGCUAGUGGCACAGCUUUUGGCAACUAAGUAUUGUGAGUGGACCCCUUCUAGAAUUACAUGAUUUGAUAAUUUAAUUGCAUAAAUGAUUAGCAUGCCUACGAAUUUAUGAUUUGAUUUAUGUGAAGCCUGAUGAUUUAAUAUAUUGAUUAUCGUCUCGGGUUUUGGUGAGGAAUUAUUUGUUAGCCUAUAUUGAGCUAUAUUUUAAUAUAUCGUAUUUUCUAUUAAAACCAUGAACUGGUAGACUAUCUGAUAGAUGACGAUAGGAUGCUAGAACAUGUUUUUGAACCCCUCUUUAUAGUGUAGACGAUGAUCGGUAACCUAUGCUAUGAAGUGGUUUUUUUUAGAGAGACGUAACUAUUUGUGCGUACCUAGUAGACACUAUGCCGCCUGGGGCAAGGAACUGGUGUUGGCAUUUAGGCCGGGAGAAAUAAUCCCUAGCGAAAGGCUGAGGGACACGGAGACAGGCAGUGGGCCAAGAGGGAGUUAUCUCUGGCUACGGGCACAGAGACUGAGGUGCAAGCAUUGGGCCGGGAGUUAUAUUUAUUCAGUGAUCUUUCUAGCAGCACACUGCGUUUACGAGACGAUUUAUGAUGCGUUUACUGUUUUGAUUUCCGCGAUGUUUUUCCGCGUUAUGGCGUUUGAGAUAUUUUUGGCAUACUAGGAUUUUUAUUAAAUCCAUCACUUAUUAUGCUAGUAGUUUUCAUUUAUAUAAACUUUGGGGGUUAGUAUGUUGAUAAUUGUUUUAUUAUUAUUGUAUAUAUAAACUUGGUCCACUCACCUUUGUUUUGCGCCCCCAUUCAGGACUUAGAAUCAAGGCACCUAAUCCCGGCGUGAAGACACUUUCGCAGCAGCAUCUUCGGAUCCUCUCGAUGUAGGACUCACUCCUUUACUCAUUAAAUUUUAUCUUAAUUCUUUUUAGUGAUUAGAUUUAGUUGUAUGCUCUGAGCACGUUCCUAAAACUUUUAACUCUUAGUUUUUAAAUUCAUAACACUUACUUAUUUCUUAUUCUUAGCUUUUGUAUCAAUUAAUGGCUUUCGUCACCCUCGGGUGUCGGCCAGCAUGUGUCUUCCUGGUAUUCGGGGAAUAUCAGGGUCGGGGCGUGUCACAAUAUUUACGGAUUAAUUACAAAAUUUUGCUAAUACCUAUUGCAGAUUUCGAACUGUAGAAUUUUUUUUAUAAAUUUUUUCUUUAAUUUCAACUAAAUCUGAAUGAGUACUUACCCCAUUGUAAAUUUCCAUCGAAGACUUUCCAACUAUAUCGAUAUUUUAAACACUGGUUUAGACCAACAUGUUUAAUAUCCAGUGCAUGCAAAUAGAAUGUCAAAUCUUUUUGAAAAACUUCAGUAUGACUGCCACUUAAGGGCAACUAGCAUAUUAAAGAGACCAAUGCAAAGUUGGAUGAGACUAAAAUACAUAAAGUCUCAUGUUUUGGUGAGAUGUGGUUUACAAAUGAUAUAGCAUGUGCCCUACGAAAAACGAGAUCGGAUUACCUAAUUGAAGUUUCUCUAGCAUGAAAAAUUCAAGAGGGAUGUGACGGUUCCGGAAAGUAAAAAAUCACACAUUUUUAUUAAUAAUUUUUUUGUUCGAAUUCGGAAAUGUAUAGAACUGAACAAAUGGAAUAGUGGCUCAGUGAUACCAACAAUUUCAUGUUGCAAAUUACAAAAAAAAAAAAAAAAAAAAAAAAAAAAGGAAAUGUUUUACACAAAAUUAAUGACAAUUAGAGUUAAACAACAGAAACUUGCACUUUAAAUGGUUUUUUUCUGCUGCUUUUGGUAUGUAUAUGCUUUUUCCGCACCGCUGGCUACUGUAUUCUCGGUAAUUUUCAUCGUCAUCCCAGCUGCGUUGCGAGCAUGAACGUUUGAUUCCUGUCAUUGGGGUUUCACAUACUCUGUCAUCACAUGAACCUCCAUGAUCCUUCCUUUUAAACAGCUUUCGAAGUGGAUUUGACUUUGGUUUCAAUGGUUUCAGCUGUUUUGGGGCCCAAAUUCUCUGCAGAUCGGGCAUCCAUCUUGUGGAGUAAGCGAACCUCCGAGCCCUCUCUCUCCUCUCUUGAACUUCAAGUAACUUGCGAGCAUGGUCGUCCUUUUGUUUGAUCUCUUCAGCGCUCGGUCUUCCAAUAUCAGUUUUCAGCGGACGAAGAGACUCACCUACUGCUGGUAAUGAAUCCCAGAUUCUAUAACUUCCAUCCACUUCGACACUCUUCGGUUUUUCUUUACAGGAUCGAUUGCUAUCCUAACUGUUGAGUAAACUAUUAGGGAGUUCUUCCUCAUCAGCAAACAGCAACAAAUCCAUUUUCUUAUAGAUUUUGCGAACCACAUCUUCAAGUGUCUCACAGUACCUGAAAAAUUCCAAAUUCAAAGAUUAAUCUAUCUGCUUAAGUUAAUUUUCCAUCUCAAACAAAAAUUGAUUGCCCGCACAUGUACUUCCGGAAAACUAAUUCCAGGAACGGAUUAUUUAAGCAACAUCGUUUCUUCAAGGAUCAUACUGUAGACAUACACUAUUGGCACAUUGCAAAAGUUGUAUAAACAUAUUCCACACUCGUUCAGAAAAACAUGGGUACGAUGUGCGCAUAACUGGCCUAUAUCCUGUCAAUCUACACUGAUAAGGAAAGACACUUUAACUCAUCUAAGAUUAUAAAGACAACCACUUUCCUUAUUUAGCAUUGUUGCAAAGGUAAGUAGGACAUGAUUUGUUAGAUAGGUAGUAAUAUCCCACAUGAAAGUGGAACACAGUGGCACCGGAAAUGUGUAUUUGUUGAGACAUGAACGAUAGACUGAAUGCAGCGUGUGCUAUAUAGCCUUUCAGCGAAAGCCAUAAUGCCUCAGUAAAACAUCCAUUAUAUAAAGUAAAGAAUAAUUUCAAGGGUAGGGGUUUUCAACUGUGGUACAGAUUUAUUACCUGCUUUUUAUGAUCUUUUCAACAUAAUCAUACACUCCAGUCACCAAAGAAGCCCUCCAGAUGACAUCGAAUUUUCUCCAAAAAGGAGCAAAUCUGUUUUACAGACUUCUGUUUUGUAGAUUCAGCAAUACGUGCACCAACCUCUGAUUGUAGUAUCUCCAUCCGGAAAAAUAUCUGCAAUUCAUAUCGUGCACGAGCUGGCGCAAGGAGGCGGCGAAGCACGAAGCCCGGGGCGGCGAUGCCGGGUCGAGGCGAAAUGCGGGGAGGGAAUUGAGGGUUUGGGAGAGGGAAUUGAAAGUGGGGCCGGGGAGGUGGAAAGAGAGGGAGAGAGAAGUGGGGAGCUUGGAGGAGGAGAGCAGCGGAGAGAGGGAGGAGAAGAAGGGUCUGAAGGCGAAGAGAGAGGCGGAGAGAGGAGGGAAAGAGAGGAUGGUUUUGACGGCGGCGAGGAAGGCUGUGAGAAAUGGAGCUGGGUUUUGGAGGUGGAGGAGUGGGUUGAGGCCUAGGAGGAGGACGAUGCGCUGCGUUUUGCCGUAGUCGGCGAUUGGGUCGCCGGAGCUCCGUUCAGAUGCCAUCGCAUUUGCAGGAGGAGAAAGAGACGGACUUGGGUUGCAGAGAAGGGAGAUGCAAAUGUGGAAUUAAGGAACAGUAAACCGAAUACGCAGUCGUUUUAGUAGAAAAACGACGAUACGGUAGAUGCUUGAGCGGGAAACCAAAUUUUGGCUGUAAAGGAAAUGUUUUAGGCCCCGUUUGGGAUUGAGGUGAUUUUAAAAAAAGCCACUGUGAAAAAAAGCUGAGGGUCAUUUUUGUGUUUGGUAAACUGAAAAAAGGGCUUAUUUUGGAAGCUGCUGUGAAAAUAAGCUGAAAAUCAAAGGAAAAGCUGAAGCUGCUAUUUGCUGCUUUGAAAAAAAGCCAGUUUUUUCAAAGCACACAGAGCUACAAUGCUCCUUUAAUGAAAAGACACACUAUCAUCCUGAUUUUUUUUCCAAAAGCACUUUCACAAAAAAGUUUACCAAACACUCUACUGCUUUAUUUCACAGCCGCUUAUUCUCACAGCACAGCCGCUUAUUCUCACAGCAGCUUUUUUUCAAAGCACAGCAAUACCAAACCAGCCCUUAAUCUCAUGAAGGACCUGUUUGGACUGCAUCUAAAUUUGUUAAAAGCGCUUUUAGAGAACAAAAGAGCUUUUGACAUCAGUUGAAAAAAAAAAAAUAUUUAAAGUACUUCUUCACGUGAAAAAAACACAUGGUUUUUAAUGAAAAUUCCAACAUGAUUUGAAUGAAAGUGCUUUCAAAAAGUAUUAUGAAUAGAUAUGCUUUUUUAUAUGCUUCUAUGAAAAGUGCUUUUUGCAAACAAUGUCGGGCUCGUUUGUAAUUACUUUUAAAAUGGUUGAAAGUGUAUUUCGUAAAAAUAUUUUUAGAAACAAUAUUUAGUAAAAUGCAAGUGAAUCCUAAAAAAAACACUUCAAGAAUAGAACAACCAAAGGGGCGAAAACUGUAAACCUCAUAGCAACCGAAUUACAAUUCGAGAACAUACCCGUUACUGAAUCCCAAAUCGCUGGUUCCCAAGUGUAGUCAUGCACAAGCUCGUUUAGAACCAAUAUUUUCUCUAAGAACGAUUUCAAUCAUUUGAAAAACAUUUUUAAACGAACUGAUGUUUUUAGGAGAAACACAAUGAGGAGCAAAUGAUUCCUAGGCGAGAAGAAAAACUAGACAGAAUGUUAAAUAGCACAUUAUGUACCAAUUUUUCUUCAACAAAUUGGAACUACUGAGAAGUUUGGAAACUAAAAAGUAAAGAUUGAUUCUAAGGAUUCUAACCCUGAUGAUUGCUUAUACAGUCGAACUACUUGAAUAGACUGGACUACCGAAGAUAAACUCAUACAUAUACGAAUUAUUAAAAAGUGAAAGAGGCUCAUCUCAGUUUUUUUUUUUUUUUUUAGUUGAAAGAAAAAAAAGGUAAAACAUGGAGAAGAUCAUGAACAGUAAUGGGUUUUAGUAUAUAUAAAUAUAAUUUGUAACUGUAUCUGUCCAAAUAUGCCGUGCAAGUUCUAUUCAUUAGCAGGUACUUUGAUUGCCAUGCAGUAAGAGCAUACAACGGAGAUUGGCUUUGUAUCAAGGCGUACGUCCCAUACACCUCUUUUAUGGGUGAUGCUGUCCACACACUUCUUUUAAUUACCAGUCGUCAUAUAGAAUGAAUUCAAGAGGAUCAAAUGACUAAAAUUAACAGAGAAUAUGUAAAAGAUAAACCAGAGUGUAUGGAUAACACCACCCUAUCUUAUUAGGAUAAUAACAUCCGAUGUGUUUGAUAUAAUCUUUUAGGGACUAACCAAAACAUUGAGUUACAAAAGUCAAACACUUCCGAUGAUGGAAGAACUAUAUCCACUUCUAUCGUCACAAAACUUGGACAAUAACAUCACACCACCAUACUUUGACGACUUCUUUAUCACCGGCAGAAUUUCCGAAUUCAACAAAGCAGCCGGAACAUACCCACUCUUGGCCGCCUUAGGAGCCGCCAGCAACCCCAAAAACAUCUUCCCUGUCUAAUACAAUGAUGUCACUUGGCGUCUUAACAAGAUGGGAGACUUUGGAGGGACUUUAUUGAGUACUCCAGAGUACUCAGUACUCUCAUUUGUUUAAAAAUAUAAAAAUCAAAAUCUAACGAUUAAAACAUCUAGAGUAUCCAUAUAUAGUACUGCUCAAAACUUUUUGAGACAUUGGACGUGAUCCCUCCUAGAAAUUAUUAAGUUAUACAGUAGUACACUUCAGCCGUGAUACUUUCAUUCAAAGGCUAGCUUUAUACUAAUAUGUGAUACUUUCAUUCCAUAUUUGAGAGCCAUUGGAUAAGUAUAAAGCUAACCUUUACAAUAUGAGCUAGUUAGUUAGCCUUCACACACACAGUGCCUGCCUAUCAUGUAACCAUUGACAAUGAUACCCGACAAUUUAUUUGGAGAGAGGGUCCUCACUCAUUUAUUUGGACCUAUAACUUCAUUUCAUAAUAACUCCAUCACAUCAUUUUAUGUACCAUAGUUUAUUCAAUUUCAAAAAUUAGUACACGCAAUAACAUGUUUUAUCGUAAAAUAUACGAGGUUUUUUAGUAUAUUAGAAAUACGAGAUGAUGCACCACAUGUCAUUAUAUAAAUGAAGAGAAAUUUUUUUUUUUUUUAAAUGUGCCUCCACUUAUAUAAUGUAUUGUACCACCCAAAUUCUGAAUAAGUGAAAGAUCUCUCCAAAAAAUACAUAUGCAUGUUUUAUUCAAAAGGUAAGGAAUGAUGCGUCAUCAUCCCUAACACACUUUAUUAUAGUAGUAGCAUCAAUUGAGGCAGAGAAGUUAAUUAGAUGCUGUCCUUAAUGGAUGCACUAUAACCGUUGUCAUAGAACCUGCUCCAAAGCAUAACUCCUCCGUACUUGGGCGAAUUCUUAAUCGUUGGAAGAACUUGUGACUUGAGAGCGUCAGCAGGAAUAAAUCCGCCGCUUGGAGCGGCCUCAGGAGCUGCCGGUAACCCCAUGAACACCUGGGUGGCCGGAACCGAGGCCCAUUGGUUCCAACUGCUUAAAAGAGCGUCGGCAUUACCGUCUGCAUACUGGCAUGGGGGGUUGUUGUAGAACUGAACCCAAACGUAGUCAAAUAAACCGGUUUGGAUAGCGGCGUCCAG